ACCGACAAGUAAAUCACCCUGAAUGCGACUGAUCUCAUCAGAUCUCUUAGGCUAAGCAUCAUUGAGCCUGGUUAACACCUGGAUGGGAAACGGCCUGGGAAAACCAAGUAUUGUAGGCU
This 119-nucleotide ribosomal RNA is filed under the name Petromyzon marinus (sea lamprey). Lineage: Eukaryota; Metazoa; Chordata; Hyperoartia; Petromyzontiformes; Petromyzontidae. The record is from RNAcentral.